AUGCGCGUUUUUACUUUGAUUGCGAUUUUGUUUAGUUCAUCUUUGUUAACACAUGCAUUCUCCUCUAAUUAUGCUCCUGUAGGCAUAUCAUUACCUGCUUUUACCAAAGAAUGUCUUUACUAUGAUUUAUCCUCUGAUAAAGAUGUCCUUGUGGUCAGUUACCAAGUUUUGACAGGUGGGAAUUUCGAGAUAGACUUCGAUAUUACCGCCCCUGAUGGCUCUGUUAUCGUCACUGAAAGACAAAAGAAGCAUUCUGAUUUUCUACUGAAGUCGUUUGGUAUAGGUAAGUACACUUUCUGUUUGAGUAAUAACUACGGCACUUCCCCAAAGAAAGUUGAAAUCACCCUCGAAAAGGAAAAGGAAAUUGUUUCUUCCCAUGAAAGCAAAGAGGACAUAAUCGCAAACAACGCCAUCGAGGAAAUUGAUAGGAACCUGAAUAAGAUCACCAAAACAAUGGAUUAUUUAAGGGCUAGAGAAUGGAGAAACAUGUAUACUGUGAGUUCUACUGAGUCAAGAUUAACAUGGCUCUCAUUACUAAUUAUGGGGGUAAUGGUUGGUAUCAGUAUAGUGCAGGCAUUAAUUAUUCAGUUCUUUUUUACCAGUCGCCAAAAAAACUACGUA
Molecule: small nuclear RNA, 621 nt
Filed under: Saccharomyces cerevisiae (brewer's yeast)
Lineage: Eukaryota; Fungi; Ascomycota; Saccharomycetes; Saccharomycetales; Saccharomycetaceae
Description: SNR9 small nuclear RNA
Source: RNAcentral